AUUAAAAAAGCCUGCCCAUGUUUAGCCAAGUUUAUGCUUGGAAGAGGUCUCUGCUUCCAGAGGCUCCUGCUCAAUCUUCAGGGACCACUGUCCUCACAGGGGCCAAACCAGCCAUGUGAGAGGAUACCUGGGCUGAAGGAGCAAUUUAAUCUUCCAAUCUCAGCAGCCUCAUGGUCAGGCGGAUGAAAUGUCAGAAACUGUUAAGGUAACCCACCCUGUGUGUAUCCCUGAGAGAAAAAGUGGAGCAGCAAUUUCCAUCAAUAACUCCCUGCGGAGCUUUGGAAAGGCUCCUUGUUCCUUUAAAGUACUUGGAAUUACUUCAGUCAGGGAAGCUGUCACAUCACUCAUAAAGUGCCUGCAGAGCAGCAACACGGCAGCACCGAGCUGGUGCAGUGCACCCACAAAGAGGAUCAUUUUUAUCCUCCUUCCUUGCCAGAACCACAUUUGCUCAGGGACCUCCAGAGGAAAGAGGAUUUCUGGAAUAUCUUUGGUAACUGUGGUCCUUGGUCCCUCUUCAAUCACCUGCCACCAUCACAGACAGUUGCUCCUCACUCCUGGGCUGAAGAAUGAGACCCAGAUCAGCCUCAGGCACAAAAGCAGGAGAGGCAGAACUUGGUUACCUCAGCUCAGAGACACAGUCCUCAAAAAACCUUUGUGGAUGCAACUUCUCCGUGGAUAUGACCAACACAGCCUUUGCCUCUCUUCAGAGCUGAGAAGGCUUCAUACCCAUCCAGGGAGCUUGGCACCUCUUCAGAUGGCUGUGAGGACCCAGCCUGGCAGUGAUCUUUAGGGAACAUCUCAGCUCACAGAGAUGAAGUCAUGGGAUGAUGACAGUGUUGUAUGGGAAAGUUGUGUAUCAGGACAAACAGCAAGAAGAAAAUGUACUUCAUCAGGCAUCAGGAAUUGCCUCUUAGGAUUGAACAGUGGUUUCUGGCCCUCAGCAGUGAUGUGCUGAAGUGAGACACAAAUUGCUGGUGUCUCUUUCCUGGAAGAAAAGAAAACCUACAGGAGCCACAGCAGGCUGCAGUGCGGGGUUUCCUCUCCAGCCAUUCUUCUGUCCUGACAACCAGCCAGGAUGUCACCUUCUGCUUGUCCCCAGUCUCCAUAGGGGCAAAAGACUGAUGACAAAGAGUAUUUCCUGCUCUUCUGUCCCCCAUGGUGGCCUCAGUCUUACCUGAACUCUCUGUAAUGAUGCAGAAUCAUCUACAAGAGUCACACUGGUUGCUUACAGCAGCUUUAACUUUCAAUCCCAUGCUAGGACUCUGAUAUCAAUGCGUAGGGAGAGGAUUGUCCUUAAUAUAAACAUGGCUGGAAUUAUGUAUAUCUUCAUUGCUUGCCUGAGUUCUUUAAAUCUUAAAGCUUGCAAGUGUUAAUUGCAGUCCCCACCUGUUUCUAUCACUUGUUAUUUUUCCUCUCAGCCCAAGGGGUCUCUGUCCCUCAUCUUUGGCCAGUACAGAAGUGAUCACAGGGUUGUUCAAACAAGAUGGGAAAUUUGCCUGUCAAGGCUGUUAAUUCACUCCCUUUUUGACCUGCACUAGCCCACCAAAUCUGCUGCAAUUAUGUGUUCAGCUUAGCAUUCUUUUGCUUUAAACUGCAAAGUCUUUGGGGCAGAAGCCACAUGGCCCCAUCCAGGAAGGAUUUUAGUCCUUCUGCCUAUAUUAGCCAAGAAACUCACAUGAAAUCAAGAGGAAAUUAUUUAUGUCACAUACAUCUACACCAAGGUUCUACCACUGUCACCCAAAUAUUGUUUUUAGAGGUAGGCCACUGGCCUAAUAUGACUGUGGGGACAAACCAGACUUGCAGCUGUGAGGUUACUUAAAGCACACCCUCCAGUUAUGGUGGCUGCCAAAUCAUGAAUAAUUUACCACCUUAUGUCAGAGUGCUUGAAUUUGUGCACCAUAAUUGCAGAUGAUGUCAGCUCUGGGAUUUGUCCUGAGAGGCUAAAAGCCACUGUAGAGCCAUUGUCUCUUGUGGCAUGUUUUCAGCUCCUAAAGCAACAAGUAAUGCAGAAGUAUAGGUCUGAGAAAGACAACCUGUAAUUAAUAUCCCACGUGCAGUUAAAAUGCUGUGGGAAGGAUGGAAAGCAGCUGAUUUCCAGUCAUGGAAGUUUGAGCUCAGCAGCAAAGAUCAGCUGUAGCAGGCAAAGGAUUCCACUUCUGGUGAAAAGGGCUCCUGGUUUGAGUGACAAGAAUCACAGGAACAGCAGGAAUGUGUGUCACUGUGACCAGUCAGAAACUCCUUGCCCAAGCUGCUCCCCACUCCCGGUCUGGAAAUCUUCCUGUGCUGUACAGGAGCAGCAGGCACAGGGUCACAUCCAGGGUAAGGGGCACUGUGGGGUCCUGAUUCCCUUUUCUGAAAAGGAGACAUUCCCAGAAACACUGACAGCCAGAACAUAAAUAGGGUGCUUUUCAAUGUACAAGAAGGAAGGAGACAAAUUUCCUGUAUUCUUUUUCCCUUUUCUUUCAGAGUUCUGGUGUCAGAGUACAAUGCUGAUGCCAGGGCUAGGAGCAGAGAGAGGACAAGGGACUGUAGAGAGACAGGAGGACACUCAUGCACAGCUGGUGCUCAAGGCACACAGCUGGGAAAAUGUUCCUCCUUGUAUCUAACAUGUAUCUCUGUUUAUUUUGUCAUUUAUUUGUUUUAAUUCAUUUUUUACUGCUUUGCUUAAGAUGUACCAAUAUACAGCACAGCAGUAUGAAGCUCAGUUAAAGCUUGAGCUUCUCUUUAUUUUCCCAAGGAAUGACAAGGAUGUCGCCACCCUGCAUGUUCUGACAUGACAGAUCUUCCCCAGAACUGCAACCCAGAACAACAGACUGAGUCAUGCCUGAGGGGGCUCCCCACUGAAAUUCCCAGCAGGAUGGGCUGCCUGGCCUCGCCUCCCAGCUCCAUGGCAUUGUAAAGAGCAGCCUGGUGUGUGCUCAUUUUUCAAGCUGCCCUCACGGGGCCAGGCAUAGUCUAUGUGUGCCACAAAACACAGGGCUGGUUCAUCCCAAACUCAGGACACGAGGAGCUGGCAUUUGUCACCCACCUGCAGCUUGUUUGGAUGGGUGAAGGUUUGGCUCAGCACAAUUAACCACAGAUUUGCCUGGUGCCUCAAGCAUCUUUCAGAGUGACACAAAAACACUCAUGUUACAGCCAGGAGAGAGGAAAGUUUUGACAGAUCCCCAGAAUGCCCCAGACCAGGUCUCUGGAAGGAACAGGGCAGGGACACAGGUCACUCCAGAGCUCUGGAACACAGUGUCAGUUCAACAGGGAUUUUAUUCCAACACCACUUUUCUUCCUAGUGGAGCUGGACACAGACAGCUGGUUUCCAUACAGCUUUAAAUUUAUGAGUAAUCAAAUAGCAGCCCCUGUUAAUUACCUGUCCCUAUUCAAAGGAAAGUGCAGUUUAAAGGCUUUAGUUAUGCUCCAGUAGCUGCAUUAAUGUCACAAGGCUUUAUUGCAAUGAAGAUCCAGGAGCUGGUACUGCAGCCCUGCACAGAGUUCCUGUGACACCCAUAAAGGGUCAGGAAACAGCCAAAAGAAAUACUAAGAUGGGAAAAGGGAAAAGUCCUGAUUUCAGCUAGGGCAGAGUUAAUUUCUUGUCAGCAGUGGUCACAGUGCUAUAUUUUGGAGUCAGAAUGAGAAUGGUGCUGAUAACACGCUGAUGUUUUGGUUUUUUGCUAAGUUUAUCUCAAGUCAAGGACUCUUUUCUUUUUUCCUUGCCCAUGCUCUGCCAGUGAGGAGGCUCCCAAAAGAAACUGAGAGGGAGCCUGGGUGAGACAGGUGACCUGAACUGACCAGAGGGAUAUUCCACACCCCAGAACAUCGUGCCAGUGUAUAAACUGGGGGGAGUUACCCUGACAAAGCCAAUCUGGGUUCAGGAAGGGGGAACUGUAUUGUGUGUCACUUGUUUUUUCCCUUAUCAUUGUUAUUUUAUUUUACUUUAUUUUCAAUGUUCUUAUCUCAAUGUACAUGUUUUACUUCAAUUCUCCCCUCCAUUUCAGCAGGGUGGGGGGAGAGGAGAAGGGGGAGGUUGAGCAAAAGGCUGUGUGGUGUUUCAUCUCCAGCUGGGCUUAAAAUGUCAACAGGGGAAGACUUUUCUUGCACAGCUCGGAGCUAUUUUGUUUUUCUUGACAUGGAAGAAAAUGGGGGGUGGCCUGUGGUGCAGUUAUUCUGGACUAUUAGCAGUGCAGGGAAGGAAGCCCUUUCAUCCAGAGUUUCAAAGCACUUUGGGGUCAUUUGAACAAGGGGAAAAGGGUGGGUCAAAGUCUCAGAGAGGGAAAAGAGUUGGGGCUAAAAUUAACUGGUGCAAAAAAAAUGCAGCCAUGAAUGAAGCCCAAGGAGCAAAACUCCUUUGGGAAGCCUGGCCUUGGGCUCCUAACGGAGCAGAGGAGCAGAGUUACCACAAGGAAGGCGUCCCCUGAAGGAGAUGGACCCAACCCACCUGACAGAACAGUGCAGGAGGAUCUGAUAAUACCCUGACCAAGGGGCCUUGACAGAGACCUCCCUCUUAGAGAGGUUUGCAAGGGAACAGCCCCUCAGGAAAGAGCUUUGCCCUGCCCUCCCGCACAGCAAUUGGGAUCAUGAACCACAGGUCAUUCCCAUUACCACUGUCCACACUCCAGGUAGGAACUUGUCUCCCCUGGGUGCUUCCAUGGAGGGGUGAAUGCUGGUGCAGCCCCUAGCUACAUCCUAGAACUUCAUUCUGUGGUGGGCACCAUAAAAAGAGUUUUAAUUUUAGGGAUUCCCUGUGUGCGGUCAGACUGAGAGUCGGCAAAGGGGCAAGAGAGGUUGUUUGCUUAUUUUCAUUGAAAGCUUAAUUUUCUGUGGAAUGUUCUGUUUUCCUGUGUUUUCUAAUAUGAAAAAUUACUCUUCUCAGUGCAAAAUAUUGCUCUUUGUCAGAAAUAGAAACUCUCAAAAAAAAAUCUCCUGAAAAGCAAUAAAAAGUGGUGCUUUUUUGGCUGGAAAGAGCAAUAUUCAACGUAUUCUGGCAUUUCAAAGUGAAAUAUCUCCUAAUUUGGAAACAAGAACCCACCUCAAGCCACUGCUGUGCCCAUGGGAAUUGCAGUGUGAGUUCCCCAGAUCCACAAAGGUGUCCAUAAACCAGGCUGCACUGUACCCUCCUGGAGGCCUUGCAUCUUCCCAUCAAGGAAAGGCAAUGAGACAUCAGGAAAAGACCAAAGAACAGAGACCAUGGCAUGGCCUGAGACAAAGCUGUAACUCUUAUAAGCCCCCGUGUGAGCAGGCACUCUUCUCUGAGUUACCAAAGCACAACUUUUGGCUUGGUUUGGCUCAACUCCAAAUGAAAUAUUUUGGUUUUGGUUCUUGGGGUAGUUUGAUUUUCAGACAAAAAAACAAAAAACUUUUAAGGUUUUCAAUAGUCAAUAGUAUCCCAUGGCAACCUUUAAAGAGAAAAAUAUUUUCUUUCUCAUUUACAUUUUCAUCAUGAUAAAUAAACAGAUACACUGGCAACCUGUUUUCCCACACCUUUCAAGGGAAGGACCUCAGGGCAGGGCCCCAGGGAGCAAGGUUCCUCCCACUGCAAGAGAAGAUCAGGUUCAAGGCCACCUGAGGAGUAUGAACAUACAUAAACCCAUGGGAUCUGAUGGGAUGAAUCCCAAAGUCCUGAAGAAAUUGGCUGAUGUAGUUAUGAAGACACUCUCUGUGAUAGUUGAAAAGUCACAGCACUCAGGUGAAGUCCCUGGUGACUGGGAAGGGGGGAAAUAUUGAACUCAUCCUAAAAAAGGGUAGAAAGGAAGACUGUGGAAACUCAGAGCUGUCAGCCUCAGCUGUGGGCCUGGGAACACCAUGGAACAGAUCCUCCCCAAAGCUGUGCUAAGGCACAUGGAAAACUGGGGGUGAUCCGGGACUGCCAGUGCAGCUUCACCAAGGACAAGUCCCACCAACACAGUGGCACUCUAGGAUGGAUCAGUGGGCAAGGGAAGUUACAGAUGUCAUUCAUCUGGACUUCUGUAAAACCUUUGACAUGGUCCCACACAAUUCCCACAUCUCUGUAUUGAAGAGAUAUGGAUUUGAUGGAUGGACUGUUUGGUGGACAAGGAAUUGCUCAGAUGGCCACAUUCAGAGAGUCAUGGUCAACAGCUCAAUGUCCACAUGCAGACCAGAGACAAGUGGUGUCCCUCAGGGGUCCAUACUGGGACCAGUACCCCCUAACAUCCUCAAAGACAUAGACAGUGGGAUCGAGGACACCCUCGGCAAGUUUACAGGUGACACCAAGCUGAGUGGUGCUGUUGGCACACCUGAGGGACAGGGUGCCAUCCAGAGGGACCUGGACAAGCUUGAGAAUUCCAUGGGAAUCUCAUCAAGUUGAACCAGACCACGUGCAAGGUGCUGCACUGGGACAGGGCAGCCUCUGUAUCAGUACAGGAGCUGGGGAUGGAGGGAUUGAAAAGAGCCCUGCAGAGAGUGACUUUGGGCUGCUGGUGGAUGAAAAGCUGGACAUAGACAGGAGUGUGUACUCACAGCCCAGAAAGCCAGCCAUAUCCUGGGCUUCAUCCAGGGCAGCAUGGGCAGCUGUAGGGAGGUGAUUCUGUCCUUCUGCUCUGCACUCAUGAGACCCCACACAGGGCACUGCCUCCUCAGCACAGCAAGGGCUUGGGCCUGUUGGAGCUGGUCCAGAGAAAGCCCAAAAAAUGAUCAAGGAAUGGAUCACCUCUUCUAUAAGGAAAGGCUGAGAGGGUUGGGGUUGUUCAGUCUGGAGAAGAAAGGCUCAGGAAGACCUUAAUUCAGUCCUUCAAUACUUAAAGCCACAUCAAGAACCAUUCAUGUCAGCAAGGACAGCAACUUCAACAAUUUUGAACAGAUACUGCUUUAGCUUGCAAUGGAAAUCCUUUGAUGAGCCUCCACAGUUAACCCAGGCAAUCUAACCCAGUCCUUAACUACCUUUACAUCAGGAAGUUUUUCCUAAUGCCUUAAUGAAAUUUCCCUUGCUAAACUUUAAGCCCAUCACUUCCUUUUCUGUCUGCUAUGGGGAACAGACUGCCUGAUCUGCU
This is a long non-coding RNA of Passer domesticus (house sparrow), 6995 nucleotides long. RefSeq lists it as uncharacterized. NCBI's taxonomy places the organism in Eukaryota, Metazoa, Chordata, Aves, Passeriformes, Passeridae. The record is from RefSeq and is a predicted model, not a curated record. The transcript has 6 exons.